Non-coding RNA from Schistosoma rodhaini, 45 nucleotides. The record is from Rfam. NCBI's taxonomy places the organism in Eukaryota, Metazoa, Platyhelminthes, Trematoda, Strigeidida, Schistosomatidae.
AUUGAGCUGAUGAGUCCCGAAUAGGACGAAGAGCACGUCCUUAAU